This 327-nucleotide long non-coding RNA is filed under the name Homo sapiens (human). RNAcentral's name for it is "non-protein coding lnc-MON2-9:1". Lineage: Eukaryota; Metazoa; Chordata; Mammalia; Primates; Hominidae. The record is from RNAcentral.
AUGGAGACAGCGGGCUCUGGUACUGGGCAGCCGGCCUCUCUGCUGGAGGCUCCCGGGUCCACGGAUGACCGGCUUUUCCUGGUUAAAGGUGGAAUUUUCCUUGGUACUGUUGCUGCAGCAGGAACGCUAGCUGGAUUUAUUACAACAUUAUCAUUGGCUAAAAAGAAAAGCCCUGAAUGGUUCAAUAAGGGAAGUAUGGUCACGACUGCAUUACCGGAAAGCGGGUCUUCCCUUGCCUUGCGAGCUCUGGGCUGCGGCUCACUGUAUGCAUGGUGUGGGGUUGGUGUGAUUAGCUUCUCAGUCUGGAAAGCUUUAGGGGUUCACAGU